UCUUAGUGGUUUUCACGGCUCAGACAGGUGUUCCUCUCUCCCCACCGCUCUCCUCUCCUCUCUAGCGACAACGGCGGCACCCGAGACGGCGACAGCGGCUGCACGCACCUGAGGGACCAACCGGAGGCGCGUGUAGCGAGCAGGAGGCGAUGUAGGCAGUGCAAUGAUCCGACGCGAGCUGGGGGCGACAAUGGCCUUCUCUGGUGUCGCUCUCCACCGACGGUCUCCAUUCAAGUGGAUGAUAACAAAUGCAUGAGGGAUAGAGAGGAAUGAGUUUUCUGGAACGCGUCUUCGUAUCUUAGUGUAUGGUGGGUACAAGUAAUGUUUGAUUCAAAAUUUAGACCUUUUUACCAAUAAUCAGUAGCAAAAUUUAGGAUUGUUGAGAAGAGAGGUGAACCUAAAGGCUUCGGUACUACUCUUAGGAUACUAUGUUGCUUCCAGGCCAUGGAUAAGAAUAGUUCAGUCGCUUGAGAGAUUGUUGAACAUAUGAAAUUGAUGGAAAUAUCUGGGCACCCUCAAGUUAAGUUGCUACCAAAAGAGCCAGGCACGCCUCCUACUCAUCAUAAACUUACAACAACAUCAUUGUUUUUUAGUGUUUUUUUGUUCUGCCGUAUGGAUUUCUAAAUGCAUCAUGUAACUUAUUGGCAUGCAGAAGGUAAUAUUACGUCCAUCCAUUUUGUUUUAUAGAAUGAAGACCGGUUCUUUCUUCAUGACGUAAUCUUACCUCGAGUGCUUUUGUUUUCUUACCUUGUAAAGGUGUGGACGUGGGAGACGGUUUAGGCCGUAAUCUUACCUUGAGUGCUUUUGUUUUCUUAAAUUGUAAAGGUGUGGACGUGGGAGAUGGACUGGGGUGAAGAAUAAGAAUUCUUCACCCUAGGUGACGAAUAUAUAUAUUGGAAGGAACAGAGUUGUAUUCCGUUAAACUGAUGCACUGGACAUGUCACCAGCAUACUUGUUCAGUACAAACAGUGGUAGAUGGCCAACCCACACCUCACGGUUGCCAUUUCCCUAACGGCGCGCCAUGGACAGUAAGUUCAUGAGCUACUCCAUUACAUGAUCAUGGUACGACCAAUAUUCAGAAGUUUUCAAAACUAACAUAAACAUGGCUUCUAUUUCUCUAAAUAGAACACCCAGCGGCGCUAGAUCAUAAUCAUUUGACGUAAUAGCUUUCUUCAUGACUGUUGAAUCUGUCUCCAGAACCACCUGAUGACACCCCAUUACUGAUGUGAUUUGAACCGCAUGGUGAAGAGCUCGAGCUUCAGCUUCAAGUGCACUUCCUGACUUCCUGAAGAUGACCUUGUCCAGCCACAACUACAACACCUCGAUCAUUCCUGACGAUGAAAGUCCCAGCCACCUGAAAGAUGUAGUUCUGGAAAGGCCCCAUUUGUGUUGAUUUUUAGAAAAUUAUGCAUUGGUCGAGACCAUUGCCACUGCAUCUUACUCUUUGGUGUUACUUUCUUUACUUGCAUGUUGUUAUACUGCAAAACAUAAACUGUGAUGGAGAUCGUUAUCUCUCCAGUUGUUCUUGUUUUUUUCUCCUCAGUUUGCUUUAUUCCUUUCUGCCCAACAGAUCCAGUGCAACAAGGUGAGCCUCUUAUCUUCAUUCAGAUUGAAAAUUUCCUGUAGGAGAG
This 1631-nucleotide ribosomal RNA is filed under the name Triticum aestivum (bread wheat). RNAcentral describes it as "partial small subunit ribosomal RNA". Lineage: Eukaryota; Viridiplantae; Streptophyta; Magnoliopsida; Poales; Poaceae. The record is from RNAcentral.